UUUCACAAUUUCCAUGACAAGUUCGACCUCGGUUAAAAAAGGUUAGGGUUUGUUUAGAUUUAAUUAUGUCAAAAAUUCUGCAACAGGGGUGGGGGAUAUAGCCACGUUAGUGGCAAACUCUUGUUGCAUUAGCAAUGAUUCAAUGUUGAUUCAUACAUGGUCAUCAAGCUGGAGUGUUGUUAUCCAUAAUGUUGUACGUUUUCUUAUUUACUCACCAAGUUCUAGAAUGCCAUUGGAACAGUCACCAGCUGAUCUGUAUGCCUGAGGUCAUAAUAUAUUUUAUCCUCCUAGACUGAAAUUAUUUCUAACAUAUUUUUUUUUAUAUAGAAGGGAUUAAAGAAUAUUAUUUGGAGAAAUAUAAUUUUGAACACAUCAUUAAACAGAAAAUAUAUAUCACAAAUGAAGUCUGUAAUGAAAUGCUUCUCCCCUGACAGGCAAGAAAAGUGCUGAUGAAAAACGACAAAAUAACAUUUUUGAAUCCAUCGAUAGGGACUCACGUGUGACACACGUCAAGGUCACAUUAGCAGGGCACUGUUUUUCAGUAAUUUAAGUUCAAGUUUGUUUUGCAAUUUAGGCCAUACCAAUUGGAGUACUUGAUUUACAGAUCUGACUGUCACUUGUUAGCGCUUUCCCCCCAAAUAACAGGAAAUAAUUGCAUUAAGGAACCUUUUAUCUUAGUGCCCUCUUAAAUUUUACAAUUACCAUGACAUGUUGACAUGUGGCUCACUCGAACAAACAAAAUUGAAUAAAAUAACACCUCAAAAUGUGUGUGUGUGUUUUACAGAAUAGAGAAAUACACACAAGGCAAUAAUAAAUUUAGUCCAUGAUUUCUUUAUUUAUUAAAGAGAUUUGUUUUGUUGUAUUUCUCUCUUCUCUUCAGUAAUUUUUUUGGACAAAUCCUUACGGCAAGUAAUUCAGGAAUUUAUCUAGGAUUCCAAAGUAAGUGUCUUUUGGGGAAAAUCAUGAUAUUGUUAAAAAAUUGGAUGUAUUUAAUGUUCUAAUGUUUGUACAUUCUGAGGAAUAGGGAAUUUUUAAAGUCAGAUUGGGAAUUUUUACUGUCAUUUGCUUCAGACUUGGGUCUGAAUAUCGACCUGAUUGGGUCUAGAUAUAUCCCAGUAACUAUAUUGGUCUGGCCUUGAAAUAUUUUAGAAGCAGCAAGUUAAGAUUUAGGUUAAAUGAUGGAUUUCAUUUGUACUGCAGGGUUUGCUAAUGUCAUAGCAGUGGUAGGGAGAGUAGCACUUGAAGUCACUGAGAAAGUUGAAAACAUUGUGUAGAUCAGUCGUUAGUGACUGUUGACCAGUUACAUAAUGUUAGAUGAAUGAGUGAGUGAUUAGUGUCACUUUGAACAGUAUUUCAGUUAUACCACAGCAUGUCAUCUUAUUGUGGGGGGAAGGCCCAAAGUGAUGCAGGAUAUUUACCACUUUGGUGAUACCCAUGACCACUGUUACGAUGUUUAUAAACAAAAAAACAUAAUCAAGGCAAAUCUGGGAUUCAUUCAGACUACAAAUGUACUGUGCGAAAUUGUGAAGCCUUAGACAGCUGGGCCACCCGUUCCUCUACUUCCAGGUGAAUGUCGCCAUGAUCUGGACGGGACGAGAUGAUGGCCAUCUUGUAUGUAGUCAUGCUUGCUGUUAAAGGCGACUAUGCUUGUCAGAUACGACUAACGGGAUCGGGUGGUCAGACUCGCUGACUUGGUUGAUGCAUGUCAUCGAUCUCAAUUGUUCGGAUCGAAGCUCAUGAUGUCAAUCACUGGAUUGUCUGGUCCAGCCUCGAUAAUUUACAGACCGUUGUCAUAUAGCUGGAAUAUUGCUGAGUGCGACGUUAAACAACAAACAAACAAAACAAUUCUUUCAUAUAGUUGAUCCCUCAUGCUGUGAUUCUUAAUUUUUUUUGAGUAGUAUAUUUAUGAUUUUCUUUGCUGUCAUGUAUGUUUUCUUUACACUGAUGUAUGAUUUCUUGUGUCCAGUAUGUACACAAUAGAAACAGUUGAUGGAACCUAACAACUAAGGGUACUUGGUAUUACCGGUAUAUUGGUAUAUUGAGGUUCACUCUUUCCACGAUACGUAUCACAAUAUCAUGUUUGAAUCUCGGUAUACUGGGUGAUUUCGCUAUUAUUUAUUAUGUGUUUAAUGUUAUACUUGCCAAAUACCCAUGUUUAUUUAUUAAAUGCGUAAACAUUACGUUGUACCAGCAUCUUGUGUUGUUCCAUUUAUGAACUUCAGUUCAAACACUGCUGUUUCAAAUUGCUUCUGAAUUCAAAAUUAAGAUUUUAUACAAUAUGUUGUGAUACGUAUUGUAAUCAUGGCCUUGUGCAUCGUAAAAUAUUGUGAUACAUUGUAAAACCUCCGGUAUCCAUCCCCACUGAGAACUGUACAUACAUCUAUACUUCUUGUCACCAUUGAUGUAAGACUUUAUUGAACAGGACGUUUACUGCUCCAUCAAGACAGUCCGCCUUGAUAUGUUGUGGACUGAUUAAGAAGAGGGUUAGAAAGCCGUUGCAGAUACUUGUCGUAGGAGAAUAUUUCUUUUCACAAGGUUUACAUGUUGUAUAUUUUGUAACAGAUAUUUUUUCCCCACUUGUAAGCAGUGUUUAUGUGUCCCAUAUUUCCAAUGUAUUUGUGUUUGUUGUUAUUUUGGGAGAUGUGCUGUCAAGGUAGAAGUAGCCUUUCAUUGAAACCUGCCUUGUUCACUUUCCAUGGUGAUAAGGGGUGGACCAUUUGAAUUUGUGUGUGUGUGGGGGGGGGGCUGGGAUUUUGUAGCCAUUUUUUCAGCUACAUCUCAAAAAACAUUUUUUUUAAUUAAAACUUGUUUACCUGAAAUAGAUUGCAACAGUGUAUCUUUAGUGGUUAACAAUUUCCUUUUUUUUCAAUGUUCAGAAGCACAAUGAUUUCAUAAAGCAUUUUCUGGCACAAUUUUCUUUUUCAAUAAAUUCCCAGGCCCAACCCUACAAUAUCAAAUGGUCAGUCCUCAAAGACUUCUAUAUAUAUGCCUGGCUUACACUUUCAGGAUGAAAAUCUGCCAACUUUAAACUUGUCCAAUGAAUAUGAUAACAUUUUGUGAAUGGAUGUAAUGUGGAAGUAGCCAUGAUGGUGGGAACAGAGGAGAUGCAGGAGCAUGGCUGUCUUCAAGGCAGUGAUAUGCUUUUGGCUACUUUUGAACUUUCACUCUUUCAGAAGUUAGGUAAAGUAAUACUGAGUCAUUUUGUUGAAAUAAUUCAGAUGUAUUAUUUUAUCUUUCGAUAUCGUUGCUUAAUAUUACCCUGAUCUCACAUGAGUGUUUAAACUGAUUCCUGUGAUACAGCUCCAUUGUUAUGUCAUGUUGCCCAGCAAUGGCGCUACUGGUUACCCAUGAAGAAAGUGCUCAAACUAACACUGUCAUGCAUAGCCAGUACCCUGACACUUCCAACCAUGUGUACAACACAAUCUUAACAAAUAGGCCCAGCAUCACAACACUCAGUCUCUGCGCUACAGCACAAUGCAACAUACACCCAGCCCUGCAACACACCACAUAGACCCAGCAAUACAAGAUACCAUUAAGACCCAGCACAACAACACAACACAUAGACCUAGCUGUACAAAACAACAUUAAGACCCAGCACAACAACACAACACAUGGAUUCGGCACUACAACACAAUGCAACAUACACCCAGCCCUGCAACACACCACAUAGACCCAGCAAUACAAGACAAUAUUAAAACCCAGCACAACAACACAACACAUGGAUUCGGCACUACAACACAAUGCAACAUACACCCAGCCCUGCAACACACCAUAUAGACCUAGCUGUACAAAACAACAUUAAGACCCAGCACAACAACACAACACAUGGAUUCGGCACUACAACACAAUGCAACAUACACCCAGCCCUGCAACACACCACAUAGACCAUGCAAUACAAGACAAUAUUAAAACCCAGCACAACAACACACCACAUGGAUUCGGCACUACAACACAAUGCAACAUACACCCAGCCCUGCAACACACCACAUAGACCCAGCAAUACAAGACAACAUUAAGACCCAGCACAACAACACAACACAUGGAUUCGGCACUACAACACAAUGCAACAUACACCCAGCCCUGCAACACACCACAUAGACCCAGCAAUACAAGACAACAUUAAGACCCAGCACAACAACACACCACAUGGAUUCGGCACUACAACACAAUGCAACAUACACCCAGCCCUGCAACACACCACAUAGACCCAGCAAUACAAGACAACAUUAAGACCCAGCACAACAACACAACACAUGGAUUCGGCACUACAACACAAUGCAACAUACACCCAGCCCUGCAACACACCACAUAGACCCAGCAAUACAAGACAACAUUAAGACCCAGCACAACAACACACCACAUGGAUUCGGCACUACAACACAAUGCAACAUACACCCAGCCCUGCAACACACCACAUAGACCCAGCAAUACAAGACAACAUUAAGACCCAGCACAACAACACAACACAUGGACCCGGCACUACAAUAAACCAGCACAGUGACACCAUUCUGCAGCCACCCACCCACUCCAUGUCAACAGCUCAUUACCAGAACCUCAGCAGUAGCAGCUUGUAUGUAGAAUGUGGCAGAACAUAAUAUUGGUGUCAGUUGAGUUAGUUGUCAUAAGCCGAGACUUUCCUACCCUGGUUACAGUUUCUUUAGAAGUGAUCUGUUAGACUUGUCAACUAUUGAUGGGGAUACUGUGAGAAGCCAGAUAAAUGUGACUGCAUGGAUAUGUGAAAUCUGUCGAUAUUGCCACGAAACACUUUGCUUUUUAGAACACAUUUGCAGAAGAUGUCCACUGUGUUUCAAUAAAGAGAUAAACAUACAGUUUUGAAGUGUCAAACAGAUUUGAUUACUGUAAAUUUCAUUGAAAUGAGUGCAUUAGCUUGAGGUUUGAAUUGAAAAAUCAGAAUAUGUUGGUAUGGGGGCUUUCUGUUACAAAAUAUUUUGACAUGCUAUAAAUGAUCCAGAAAUAACCUGCAACACAGUGUUUCCACUUGAUAACAUAAUGAGAGUAAAUGUUGCCAGGUUUGGGAAAGGAGUGCUUUCAAAAAAAUAUUUCCUGUCCAGUGGAAUCAGACCAAUCAGAAUACAGAGCUCAUGAUUGUAAUUGUAGAAUAUGAAAUAUGUGAGUAUCCCUAUCAGAAGUUGAGUAGUAUAUUUACAUGUGUUACCUGUUGAUUAUCAAUUAAUGUAAAUGUGAUAACAUUGAUUCCUCAUCAAUCUGUGCUAACAUGGUGGUUAUGGAAAGUGAGGUGCUUGUUGUGCAAACAAAGGUAGAAUAGGUCCAACAUUUUUAUGCUUGUUGAAACUUAAAAGGGGAUUGCCGGACCACAACUUUCAAUAGAAUUUCAUUUAUAUAUUUAAACAGUAUUUUGUGAAUCCAAUGUACAAAUGCAACUUAUAAUUGAAAGUCAGAGGAUUGGCAAACAGGUUAAGCAUGAUGGAUCUUGUCAGUUAAGAGAAUUGAUUGACUACCAGAGGAGCCUAUUGUCCCUUUCAAGGGAGCCCUAUAUCUUACCCAGAUGGCAUGGAGAGGUCACACAUUCUGGACAUUGGGCUGCCUGCUUUGUAGCAUUGCAGAACAUUUGUGACAUUAGGAUGUCUUAACAGGAUGUGAAGCAUGUGAUCCAUCUGUGUGUGAUGAAUGAUAUUGAUAUAUGUAUUAAUUGAUAGCAUUGACACAUGAUUUGUACAAGAAUCGAUUUGCAACAGACCUUGCAUUUGAAGAUUCUAGGUAGCUUGAUUACUUUGUUAAUAGUCUUUGUGUUGGACCUGGUAUGUAGAAAAGGAUAAUAGAGACUUGCAAUGUCAUCAGUUAGCUCCCCAUUUGAAAAUGUUCUUUGAAAAGUUCAGAAAUCCUAUAUCCACAGUGAUUAAAUUGUUUAUUUUCAUGUGAGCAUAUCAGCUGAUCAGUAGGUGUGGACAUAUCUCCCCAAACUCAUUCUUCUUCAACAUAGUGGUUCUACUUCAGGAAGUGUUGCUGUGGAGAACAUAUUUGUAUCAAUGUUGGGAUACACUCGUUUUUCUGUCUGUAAGAAGUUGAAUAAGUGAGUUAAUGUUGAUAAAGGACAUUGCAAUGCCUUGGCUGUAGGUAUGUUAGGGGGUAUUAAAGGAGGACAUUGCAUCGCCUUGGCUGUAGGUAUGUUAGGGGGUAUAAAGGAGGACAUUGCAAUGCCUUGGCUGUAGGAAUGUUAGGGGGUAUUAAAGGAUGACAUUGUAUUGCCUUGGCUGUAGGUAUGUUAGGGGGUAUUAAAGGAGGACGUUGCAUCGCCUUGGCUGCAGGUAAGUCAGGGAGUAUAAAGGAGGAUAUUGCAUCGCCUUGGCUGUAGGUAUGUCAGGGGGUAUAAAGGAAGGACAUUGCAUCGCCUUGGCUGUAGGUAUGUCAGGGGGUAUAAAGGAAGGACAUUGCAUCGCCUUGGCUGUAGGUAUGUCAGGGGGUAUAAAGGAAGGACAUUGCAUCGCCUUGGCUGUAGGUAUGUCAGGGGGUAUAAAGGAAGGACAUUGCAUCGCCUUGGCUGUAGGUAUGUUAGGGGAUAUAAAGGAAGGACAUUGCAUCGCCUUGGCUGUAGGUAUGUCAGGGGGUAUAAAGGAAGGACAUUGCAUCGCCUUGGCUGUAGGUAUGUCAGGGGGUAUAAAGGAAGGACAUUGCAUCGCCUUGGCUGUAGGUAUGUCAGGGGGUAUAAAGGAAGGACAUUGCAUCGCCUUGGCUGUAGGUAUGUUAGGGGGUAUUAAAGGAGGACAUUAUAUCGCCUUGGCUGUAGGUAUGUUAGGGGAUAUUAAGAGAGGCCAUUGCAUUGCCUUGGCUGUAGGUGAGUCAGGGAGUAUAAAGGGUGACAUUGUAUUGCCUUGGUUGUAGGUAUGUUAGGGGAUAUAAAGGGAGGACAUUGCAUCGCCUUGGCUGUAGGUAUGUUUGGGGGUAUGAAGGGGGACAUUGCAUCGCCUUGGCUGAAGGUAUGUCAGGGAGUAUAAAGGUGAACACUGCAUCGCCUUGGCUGUAGGUAUGUAUGUUAGGGGGUAUAAUGGGGAACACUGCAUAGCCUUGGCUGUAGGUAAGUCAUGGGGUAUAAAGGUGAACACUGCAUCGCCUUGGCUGUAGGUAUGUAUGUUAGGGGGUAUAAUGGGGAACACUGCAUAGCCUUGGCUGUAGGUAAGUCAUGGGGUAUAAAGGGGAACAUUGCAUUGCCUUGGCUUUAGGUAUGUAUGAAGGGGUUAAUCUGUGAAUAACAACUUUAUAUUUUGAUGCAUUGUCAUAUAUUAUACAUACAUAUAUACAUAUAUUUUCUUUAUGAAUAAAAUGUCAUUUACUA
RNAcentral lists this long non-coding RNA (7312 nucleotides) under Haliotis rufescens (red abalone). RNAcentral describes it as "uncharacterized LOC124112583". Lineage: Eukaryota; Metazoa; Mollusca; Gastropoda; Lepetellida; Haliotidae. The record is from RNAcentral.